UUUUUUUUUUUUGCAGAUGCCCGUGAUGCCGCCCCCCACCACGAUGCCGCCCCGGGCAACCGCCCGUGUCGCCCGUAUCUAAAACCGCUACUGACUGGAGCUGUCAGCCACAGGCAGUCGAACUAUAACAAAGUGAAAAUGCAAAGGAUACUGGACUUUGUGAAAUUUCAGCUGUAGCACUGUCACACUUUCUCUGUAUGAACUUCAGACAACAACAGUGUUGGCAGGAGUUGCCGCGGUGUUAUCCAUGGAUGAUGAACAAGGAUCACUCCGAUAUGGAAGGAAUGGGCGGGAAGAGAUCAUGGAAAACUAUGGAAACUUGAGGAAAGUGUGAGAGGAGCCAAAAA
This is a long non-coding RNA of Oreochromis niloticus (Nile tilapia), 347 nucleotides long. RefSeq lists it as uncharacterized. The record is from RefSeq and is a predicted model, not a curated record. NCBI's taxonomy places the organism in Eukaryota, Metazoa, Chordata, Actinopteri, Cichliformes, Cichlidae. The transcript is spliced from 2 exons.